This is a long non-coding RNA of Cygnus olor (mute swan), 1134 nucleotides long. RefSeq lists it as uncharacterized. The transcript has 3 exons. The record is from RefSeq and is a predicted model, not a curated record. NCBI's taxonomy places the organism in Eukaryota, Metazoa, Chordata, Aves, Anseriformes, Anatidae.
CUCGCAAUGGGCAAAUGCACUUGUGGCUUCAAAGAAAUGCUUUCUCUUCUAUGUCUUUUACUUCUCAGUGCACGGAACUCCCUUCCACGUUCACGUUUUGUUCCAAGGAAAUGGUCCAGUCCUGAGAAAAAUACCUGGAAAGUUAUUCUACACAGUCUCUAGCUUGUAAGAAAGAAACCUACUUCUGUCCAAAUUCUACAUGCUGGGGAACAACAAUAAAAUCUGCACAGGCUGGAGGAAACCCUGACAGUUGGAGGCGUUUGUAUUUCCGCUGCUGGAUGUUUGCCCUGCUUGUGGCGAUGCUGUGCAGGAGCUUUUCUUCCACAGGGCCUUCUUCAUCCUAUGGUUUUGCAGAUUUCUACUCCCAUGCGAGAAGGAAGGAAUAGCAGGAUGCCUUGCAUGGACAGACCUUGAAGGAAGUUGUCUCUAUUGAGCAAGAAGGCACUGAUGCAUGUUUUGGAGUCACCCCACGGCCAAGCACCUGAGCUACCCAUCCUGACAUAGGGGCACAGAGCAGAACCCCAUCUACCACGUGAAGUGCCUCUAAAUCCCAAAUUCCCCUUAGCCCGAAAUCACCUGCUCUGGCAUCUAAACUUAAUUAGCAAAAGCAACAUCAGCGGUUUCCCCGAGGUUGUACACGUGGAGCCGCACUGAUUGAGGAAUUUAGAUGGUAAUGAAUGGUCCCAGAGUGAGGACGAACGUGCCCAGCGCAGAUUUAGGGUGAGAGGUCGGGAAUUCAGCAGCUUGUUUGGUAUCAAGAGCACUGCUCUGGUUUGUGUUAAAUGCCUGGCCAAAGCCACCUCGAGCUGAAAGUGCCUGCACGUAGUGGGGCUCCUCCAGGGCAGGUUUGGGUUUCAAGGCAGAGCCCAGAGACCGGAGCCCCAGCCCCCAGGGAGGAGAAGCAGAGGCCAAAGGGUAUAAGAGAGGGCAUUAAUGCACAGCAAGCUCGCACUGCUCAUUUUGGGGCCUUUCCAAUGACCUUUUGCAGCAGCAAACCCUCAGCAGAUGCAUUAACAUGCUGCCUGUGUCCUUUUGCUGUUGUUUGCUCUUUCUCACUGCCUGUACUUGGAGGUAGAUGCACAUGGGCACACUUGCCCACCUCUGAAAAACAACUAAAACCCAUCAAACUCGGCA